CAAGGUUGCCAUGCCACUAGUUCGGUGAAGCUGUCAACGGAGGAUUCACUCAGAUGGAACAUGGAGAAGCCUACACAUCAGUGCGACAAGACAUUCAGUUUAAAGUCAGACCUGGCGAGGCGUCUGAAGAUCCAUGCCAUCGCCAGGGAGACCUUUACCUGUGAUGUCUGCGGGAAGAGCUUGGCCACUAAACCAUCGCUGGUCAGCCAUCAACAGCUACACCAGUACCCCAACAUCAUUUUGUACCGGCAAGGAGAGGCCAGGCUGUACUGUACAGAGGCAGCAAGGUCUGUGGCAGAGGCCCGCAAUGGCUGGAUCUCAAGACAGCAGAGACCUUUGGAAAGGUCAGCUGGUCAUCACGUUCGGGUAGUACGCCGGUCAGACCUUCAGGUGGCUUGUGGAGAAUGAUGUCGGCUGGCUGGUGUGGCUGCUGUUCCAGUACUGCCAGCAGGGAGAGCAGAACGAGCUGCAGAAGGAGCGACUGCUCCUUCUGCCACAAGGUGACUCCUCACCUGAAAGUGCGGUCGGACGCACCGUUCCCGGAGGCUCCUGCGCUGCCAACAUCCCUCCCUCCGCCAGACCGGCCUCAGGUCCAGUACCGGCACAUCCAUCACGAGGCUGGAAAGAGACGUGGUGAGAAGCGGAGAUUAUUUGUUGAUGAGCCAGAGCAUGCGACUCCCGCGAACCGGCCCGUUCAGCCCACUGGGUUUGUCGUCCUCCACCCGGCUGAAGCCUGCUGCGCUCACCCCCAUUCUGCCGAGGCCUCCUGCGCCCACCCACCUCCA
This is a long non-coding RNA of Gadus morhua (Atlantic cod), 785 nucleotides long. RefSeq lists it as uncharacterized. The record is from RefSeq and is a predicted model, not a curated record. NCBI's taxonomy places the organism in Eukaryota, Metazoa, Chordata, Actinopteri, Gadiformes, Gadidae. The transcript has 3 exons.